AAGGUUUAAUAAUUGAUAUCCAAGGCUCCAAAUUUGAAUCAUAAUUGAUUCAUAUUUUCAGCUAAAUUUAUUUUUAAAUAAAAUAAACGAAGCAGAUAGUAUACUAUAUAUCUUUUAAAAAAAUUUAAAUAAAAUAAAUGAAACAGAUAGCAUAUUAUCUAUCUCUAAAAAAAAAGAUAGUUAAAAAGAAGUUGUUCUACAAAAUGAUACUGUUGUAAGGUGGAAAUUCUUUAGAAUACAAUAAAAGAAAAGAGAAUUUUGUGAACACGCCAGUGACAAAUAGGUGCCAAUAUGCCAAAGACUAUUUUUAAUGCAAACAAAUUAAACUUAUGAUGUUUGAUAAAAUUAAAUUAAUUUCGCUGAAUUAACGGCGUGGAGCCCAAAAGAUCUUGUCGCAUCUGAUCAUAAUUACAAGGAAGAAAUAACAAAUUGUGAGCAAACAUCAACAUACAUUUGAUGGAAGAGGGCCAAAAAUCGAUCAAUUUAUUGUUGUGGGGCCCGCGUAGGAAGGGGGAUACAUGCAUGUGGGCUUUGAGGUAGGAUUUGGACCAAGUGUGAGGACGACCCAAUUUUGGUGUUUUAAGUCAAUACGAUAUUGCCGACCGUCCCUAGAGCAAGUGGUAAAUAGCUUGAUGGUUGGUAUCCGAGACCCAAAUUCGAAUCUUAGUUGAUUCACAUUUUCAGCUAAAUUUAUUUCUAAAUGAAAUAAACAAAACGGGUAACGUUGUUAUGCGUUAAGCUGGUCCAUAGUACGACCGGGCUAAACAGAUCCUAAAAAUUUAUUUCUAAAAAAAAAAAAAAAAAGUCAAUACGAUGUUAUGCGUUAAGCUGGUCCAUAGUACGACCGGGCUAAACAGAUCCUAAAUUAAGAGCACAAUUAAUACCUACUAUUAAGGGGUUAAAGAACAAGCACAGAUAUUAGAAAAGAGUUGAGCUGCUGAUUCUUUACUAAAAUAUGUUUGGAGUAUGGAUAACAAAGUAGUAUUAAAUUUCGUUUGGAAUUGUAAACUGAUUGCGUUACGGUACGUGAUAUUGUAUUUCGUAUAUUGUGAUUAAUCGAUUAUGAUACAUUUUUUAUGAUCCUAUCAAAAAAUACAGAAGUUCAUUUUUGGAUAUUUUUAUCCCAACUCUAUUUUAUCUAAUAGCGUCAGAUGAGGGACAAUAUCAAACUAAGCCUUACAGUCCUGCUUGGCCAGCUUUUUAUUGCGGUGUGGCCUAUUUACUUUACUGGAAUGCGCGCUAUAUAUAAUUCACUAAUAAAAAUAUUUGUUAUUUAUAAUAGCUUUAGAUUUAAAGCUUUUGUAUAUUUCCAUUAAAUAUAUUUCAAAAUUACAUGACACUGCUAAGAAGUGGUGAGGAAUCUACACAAUCAACGUCCGAAGCCCUUAAUACAACUUUAUGUAAAGUCGUCCUCCGUUCUCUUGGGCCUUCGGCCGGAUUUUGGCACUGGGAAUUUUUUUUUUUUAUUUUGAAAAAAGAGAUAUCAUACUAUCUGUUCGUUCAAUUUUUUAAAAAAUAUAAAUUUAGCUGAAAAUAUAGAAUAAUCAGAUUUCAAAUUUAAAACUUCAGAUAUUAAUCACUAAAUUUUUUAUCAUUUGUGCUAGAAAUCUAUAUUUUUUCUAAAUUCUUCACCACAAUCAUCUAAUUUAUCUAUUUUUUCUCUAUCUUCUCUUAAUCAACUAUUUGCUAUUGGAGACUUCUUUUUCUUUAAUUCUGUUAGGAGCCACAAACUUUAUGCAGAUUCUUUGUACCAGAGCUUAAAAUAUAAUCAAGCUCUACUUCUUUAAUAAAAUGUCUUUUUUAUUUUAUUUUAUUUUUCGAAAGAAAGGUAGUAUACUUUGUAUAUUUUUUUAAAAAAUAAACUUAAUUAGAAAUAUGAAUCAAUUAGAAUUUAAAUUUUAAAAUCUAGAAAAUCGUCCAUACAAAUACUUUGCAACUUGCGUCAGAAAGGAUCAAUUUUUAACCCAAAAAAAUUUCACAAAAAGCUAAAAAUAUUUAUUUAUUUAUUAAUUUUGUGUGUGUGGAAUCAAACUUUCUAUGGAGCUAGGCCCAGUGUUCUUCAAAUUUAUGGAGUGAAAAAGCAAAGCAAUUACCAACCAAGCUAUAUAAUAGAAAUAGAUAACCAACCACCGGACCUCCGGUCUCCUCUGGUAAUGUGCAGGGACUAGUAAUCCUGACGAUCCAAGCGAAAUCCCCGUCGCUGAAGCCCCCAGCAUGCGAGCCCUCGUCCCCGUCGCGAGCGGCGGGGCCGUGCGAGGCCGUGUCCGGGGCCGAGGCGGCGAUGCUGUUCGGGGGGCUCUACCUCACGGCGCUGGGCGUGGGCGGGAUCAAGGGCUCGCUCCCGGCGCACGGGGCGGAGCAGUUCGACGAGGGCUCGCCGCGGGGCCGCGCCGCGCGGUCCACCUUCUUCAACUACUUCGUCUUCUGCCUCUCCUGCGGGGGGCUCGCCGCGGUCACCUUCGUCGUCUGGGUCGAGGACAACAAGGGCUGGGAGUGGGGGUUCGGGAUCUCCACCAUCGCCAUCUUGCUAUCCAUCCCCGUGUUCCUCGCCGGCUCGAGGCUUUACAGGAACAAGCUCCCCACGGGGAGCCCCCUCACUCUCAUCGCCAAGGUAUGGAUGGAUCUCUACCCUCUCAAACGUGUUUGCGAUCUUCUUCUUCUUCUUCUUCUUCUUCUUCUCUUGCGCUCCAUGUGUUUGUUGAAAUGGCCCAAUGGCCGUUCGCUUUUGAAAUCCGAAGGGUGAAAUGCAUGUGCAGUCCCUGUAAUUCGGCCUCCAAACGUUAGAUAGAGAGCUGAAAUUUGGGCCCACAACUGUAGAAACUGAAAUAGUUGUAUAAAAUUAAAUAUUUAAUGGGAGUCGUUCCAACAAUGGACCGCAACUUUCACCUGCUUUAAGAUCCGUAUAAAUUGCAUGAUAAACGGCCGAUCACGCAAUCUAGCGCUCGGCAUAAUGCUGUUCAAAGUUCUGUGAAAAUAGUUGGGUGCCAUUUCACAAAUUUUGGAGCAUUUACAUUCCACACAUUCAAGGCAAUCGGCGCAGCUCAGAGAACUAGGUAGAACUAGGUCUUAUAAAGUAAUAGGCUCUAAAAAUAUAUAUGUGUUUCCCUUAACUUUUUCUUUUUUAAUAAAACACUCUUCUAAGGGGAAAAAAAGAAAGUUUAUGUACUCCACGUAACUCUAUGAAUAGACCCUAUACUUUAGCUGAUACAAGAAAUUUAGUUUCUUAACUUUUCACUUAAACAUUUCACUCUCUAAAUUACUCGAAUCUAACUUACAGGUCCUAGUCGCCGCCGCGCUCAACUGUCGAACCACACAACCUCCGAGCAACGCCAUUGUCGACCGGCCGUUGAGCCCCGAGAACAGAACCGAAACAAAUGACCACAAGCAAGAAGAGCGGGAAAAUGGAGAUCAUAAGAACACAACCAUAUCAUACGCCCCAUCCGAAGAGCUCAAGUUCCUGAACCGAGCCGCGCAAAACCUCCCCCGUCACUUGCCGCUCGCGUGCACCGCAGAAGAAGUAGAAGAGGUGAAGGUAGUGUUAAAGAUCCUCCCCAUAUUCCUCUCCACCAUCAUGCUCAAUUGUUGCUUGGCCCAACUCUCCACGUUCUCCGUCGAACAAGCCGCGACCAUGGACACGCGCGUCGGCCGCCUCACCGUCCCGCCCGCGUCCCUCCCGAUAUUCCCCGUCACCUUCAUCAUGAUCCUCGCCCCGGUCUACGAUCACAUUGUCCUCCCCUUCGCGCGGCGGGUGACGAAAACCGAGGUGGGGAUAACCCACCUCCAGCGUAUCGGCACCGGGCUGGUCCUCUCCAUUGUCUCCAUGGCCAUUGCGGCCUUAGUCGAAGUCAAGCGGAAGAACGUGGCUCAAAAUGCAGGGCUCGUCGACUCGUUAGAGCCGUUGCCGAUUUCAUUCUUCUGGAUUGCUUUGCAGUAUCUGUUUCUGGGAUCAGCGGAUUUGUUCACAUUGGCGGGGUUGUUGGAGUUUUUCUUCAGCGAGGCGCCUGCAAGGAUGAGAUCGCUUGCGACCGCACUUUCAUGGGCGUCGCUUGCGAUGGGGUAUUAUCUCAGCUCGGUGCUCGUCUCGAUCGUGAACAGCGCGACUGGGCGCGGGUCACAUUGGCCGUGGUUGAAGGGUAGUAACUUGAAUCACUAUAGGUUGGAGCGGUUCUACUGGUUGAUGUGUGUGUUGAGCUCCUUGAACUAUUUGUUCUACUUGUUCUGGGCGCUGAGGUACAAGUAUAGGAGAGGUGGGGUUAGAGGAUGAUAAUAUAGUCUUAGAUUUGUUAAUGCGGAUGUGAUCGAUCGCUGAUUAGAGAAGGUGGUUGAUUAGUGAUUAUGAUUAGUGUUGCCGCUUUUUUAUUGUUGUUUGCAUAUAUAUAGUUAGCGAACUCCCAAAAAGAAGAGAUGUUGAUUUAGAAGAGAAAGUGAGUAUAAAAUCAUAAACGAUUUGGACUCGGCGCGAUGCACCGACUUUCACAGUUACGGUGCUUAGCUUGUGUUUGGUGCGUCUGAUGUUUUCGUUGAUAUUACUACUUUUUUUCUUUUUUUUUUUUCUUUUUUUUUUUCUUUUUUGUUUAAAGAUAGAUAGCACACUAUCCGCUUCGUUUAUUUGAUUUAAAAAUAAACUUAGCUAGAAAUGUUAAUCAACUAGAAUUCGAAUUUGAUUUUCGGUACCAACCACUAAACGUCCCGUAGGAGAUGCAUUAAGUCUAUUCAUUAGAAAGAAAAAUAUAUAUUUCUAAUGACCAUUGUCUGAUGAGCUUGCACAAAAUAGAAAUGGUGAGCCUUAUCACAAAAAACAAAGAAAAAAAAAGAAAAAGGUGAGCCUGUUUGGUGUGCGACGAGCUUUUCCAGCGCAAACAAUUUUGGAGAUAAAGGAAAUAAAUAAACUCGGCCAACCGAACGCGUCAUCGGGUAUAUUCGUUAGCAACCUCUCGCUAAGCACCGGGGCCGAAUCUAGGCCCAAUUACAGCCCAAACUAUGCAAUAGUGGACAUAAAGCCCAACCUAAUCUCUUUUGGGGUACAUUCGAGCCCAUAAUUCCAUCAACUAAUUGGGCAGUGGACCUGGGCCCGUUCCCCUGCUACAACGCUCGGGCCCUUCGCCCCUUCGCCUUCGACUUCGCCUGACCUUCCCCGUCCCUUCCAGGCUUCAUCGACGCGCCCAAUUCGGAAGUCGAAACCCCUUCGUGCUAGGGUUAGGGUUUUGCUGCUCCAAGGAAAGCACGGCGAUGGCCAUGGCAAUGGGCUCCGCUCCGGCGCCACCCCCUCGCCAGUUCAAGCUCGCGAGGGAGAGCGAACUGAGGGUGGAGGUGGGCGCCGCCGCCCCGCUCCGCGUCCGCCUCCUCUCCGGCACCGCAGAGAUCUUCGGCGCCGAGCUCCCCCCCGAGAAUUGGCUCCCCAUCCCUCCUCGUAGCAAGAUCGCGGUUCGAUUCUUUAACCUCUUCUUAAAUCGAUUUGCUUCAGUUUUUUUUUUUUUCCUUUUCUGUUUUUGGUGGUAAAAAUGUAUGGAGAACCCCCUCGACUCGUAGUACAUUUUGACAUUCAUUUUCUUUUUUUUCCUUUUUUUUUGAGUUAUUCUACGUAGUUAAAGUUAAUCUUUUUUGUUGAAUUUAUUGGUCCUACUACCUAUUGGUGUUAAAUAUGCUAAUUUCACGUGCUAAGGAGUCAGCUAACAAGUAAUUAAAGAUAUGAAAUUUGAUGAAUUACCCAGUGGUUCUAAGCAAAAUUCCAAUUUAAAUAACUAAAUCCACUAAAAAAAAAAUCAAUAGUUAAGGCCAUGCGGCGGUGCCAAUAAAAAAAAGGUUGAUGAUAUUGUUUUAAAAUGACCUAUAGUUGAGAAGAGUAUUCAUACAUUUUACUUAAGUUUUCUUAAGGAUUAUUAAACUGUUCUUGAGACAAAUGCAAGUGCAUGGUUCAGAUUUUUACUUGGCAUGGUGCAACGAUCGAGCUGGAUGGGAUCAGUGAGGUCGAGUAUGUGGCGGAUGAGGUGAUCCUCGUGACACAAUGCUGUUUGGAAUUGUCUUUUGGAGAUUUUGGAACUGUUUCUUUAAUCUAUUUUUAAUUUAACUGAUCCGUCUAGACGCCCAUGGUAAGCUAUGUGAAUGUUCAUGCCAUACUUGAUGGACGGAGAACUCACGCUAAGGCAUCGCAAGGCAGUGGACUGGAUGCUUCACAGGUGAGGCUCUGCCUCUUCAUCCAAGAGUUUUGAGUUUGAAUAAAUUUAUAAUUUGCUUGAUUUGGAAGCCUUGGUCAUUACCUACAUAGUUACUUCGUAUGAAAGCUGGUCUAACAUUUGAUAGAUUAACUACUACCUAAUAAUCAGGGUUAAUUAUUAAGACAAAUUAUCUUCCCCUUUUUUAAGCUUGAGCACUGACAGUCCGUGUCUCAGGGUCCUCGGGUGAUUGUUGUGGGACCUACAGAUUCUGGGAAAAGCACUUUGUGCAGGAUGCUUCUCAGCUGGGCCUCUAAACAGGGCUGGAAACCUACAUUUGUGGAUUUGGAUAUUGGCCAGGGAUCCAUUACUAUACCUGGAUGUAUUGCCGCCACACCAGUUGAGAUGCCCAUAGAUGCAGUAGAAGGAAUCCCGUUAGAGAUGCCUAUCGUGUACUUCUAUGGGCACACUACUCCCAAGUAACUAUCUGAUUAACCUUGCCUGCUUAUGUCGAUAGAUUAUUCUUUUAUGUCGAUCAGUUUGAGAUGCGAAUCAUGGUGCUCAACAGUGUUAAUGCAGAUCUUUAUAAGGUUCUUAUGAAGGAGCUUGCUCAGACACUGGAGAAGCAGUUCUCUGGGAAUGCCGAAUCUAGAGCUGCUGGCAUGGUGAUCAACACAAUGGGAUGGGUAGAAGGCCUUGGGUAUGAGGUAUUGUUCUGUAUUUUAUAGGAACCUUAAUUCAUAAGUAUAUCCUAAGAUCUAAAUAUAGUACCAUCAAUAUUUAUACAUAGCCCUGUUUUAGCGGCUAAUAUAUUAUUCAUAAUGGUUGACAUGCAGUUACUUCUUCAAGCAGUUGAUACUUUCAAAGCUAAUGUUGUUCUGGUCUUGGGCCAGGUAACUUCCUCUUCUUUCUACUAUCUGUAUUGCAACUGUAUCACUUUGUGGAAUGGGGUUUCUAAUUCAUGUUUUCCUUUCCUUUUUUGAAUAUAUAUAUAUAGUACAGAUAUAUGGGUAUGUUCCAUCAUAUAGUGAACUCUACAAAAUGCCAAUAGUUACCUUGGGAAAGCAAUUAUUUCCUUGGGACCGAAGUUUUUGACCAUUAUUGUGUUUAUUGCUUUAAUUCUCUUUUUCUGCCAAAUAUUAUCAUCAUUCUGCUAUAUAUGCCAAUAAAUAGUUCAUGUCCAAUAUGCAAUAUUAGAUCCAUCUGAUAUAUUAUUGCAGAUCUAGAAAAAACCUCACUAUCUUAUCUUUUAAGUAUCCUAUCGGUGAUAUUCUGUUUGAAUAUUUAUAUGCUCAACAAUUGACGCUGCUCCUUUGUAAGCGACCGCUAAUUGUAUGCAUAUCUGUAUACAUUUUAAAUCCAUAUAUAGCAAGUACUAUAUUCUAGCAAGCACAAAAUAUAUUUCAGUAUGCAGUUUGACUGCAUUCUCUUGAAACAGCAUCAGUAACUUCUACUUAGAAAUCUCAUCGAGAUAAUUAAUAUGAGUUAAGCGAUAAGUUGGGAGGCAUGGCCUUCUUAAGGUGGCCUUUGAUUUCAUUGCUUUCAGUGUCUCUGGCACAGGAGAAACUUUGCAGCAUGUUGAAAGAAGUACUAAAGAGCAAGCCUAAUGUAGACAUUGUGAAACUUCAUAAAUCAGAAGGGGUUGUUCUGAGAAAUCAGAAGGUCCGCCAGAAGGCUAGAAGUUUUAGAAUCAGGGUAAGUCAGAGCUUGGACAUGAUUUAGCUUGUUCUUUGUUUAUGCACAAGAUAAUUCUAUUUAUUUGGUUGAGGGCCUGAUAAGAGCUAGGCUUGAAAUUCGAGAUUAAUAGGUCUUAGUUCUCAACUUGCAACUUCUUUUCUUGUAGCAUGAUCAAUAGUUUUAUAUAAUCUGGUAUCUCAGGUUUGUAAAUAGUUGUAAACAGUUCGAGGUUGUCUGCUUCUUCUUAGACUUGGCCAAUCUAUUUUGUUUUAGAUAUGUAUACAUGGGUAAAAUAUAUAGGUAGUCCUUGUUCUUUUCUGGUACUCUGGUAUUGUGACUGAUCUUUUGCGUUUAUUUUUAAGUCCCUGACCAGUUAAAAAGAAGAAAAAAAAAUCUAAAAUCUAUUGAUUUUUAUUGUGAAAUGACCUUCACCCCCCUUUAGAUUUAAAUUAAAAUAGGUUGUUUCACAUGAGAAGGGUAAAGUCUGAAAUACUCCUUUGCAGGAAUACUUUUAUGGCCUUUCAAAUGAUCUCUCCCCACAUUCAAAUAUUAUCAAUUUUAGUGAUGUUUCUAUUUACCGAAUUGGUGGUGGCCCACAAGCACCUCGUUCGGCACUACCUAUCGGUGCAGAGCCAGUGGCAGACCCGACGAGAGUAGUUGCAGUCAACAUAAACCGGGACUUACUGCACUUGGUUUUAGCUGUUUCUUAUGCUAAGGAACCUGAUCAAAUAAUUUCCAGGUAAUAUCAUAGGACUCGCAUUUGCAAUUAUCUGUCAUUUUAACUUUCCAGCUUGUGUGACAUCUAGUAAUCGGUGGGACCGAAAACUGAGCAAUUAACAUCUGGAAAAGCAAAGCUUUUGGUAGUACAGCGAAAAAGGGAAACAGAAAAGAGGAAGUUGCAUAGCUAACACGACAGCUGGCCAUCUCACCUCUAGAUUUUGGAUUAGAAAGUUGCAACAGUACAUAUUCUCCGUACUCAUCAUUUUUCAAUGUCAACAAAUAUUUGCUAACUAUUCUCUGAAACUCCAAUGCAGCAACGUCGCCGGGUUUAUAUAUGUCACAGAUAUAGAUAUCCAGAGGUAUUUUCUCCACUGCAACUUUAUUGUACUUUUGUGCUACCGGUGUAUACUUCACUGACAAUGGUGCCUACAGGAAGAAGAUCGUUUGCCUUACACCGUGCCCUGGUGAACUGCCGAGCAAGAUUUUGGUUGUGGGAACGCUGACUUGGUUGGAAGGCUGAUACAGGUUUUAACAUUGGCAUCACCAAAUUCAAUGUUCUGGUACAUUGUCCUCUUGAGUGUGCUCGGCUAUCUCUGGCCUUACUGCAACGAGAUUGUUUGCGACAUGUAACCAUGGAAAUUUCUCUCUUCAUGAAUGCGGCAUAGUUCUGUAAAAGUGGUCAUUGCGUUUUGUGAAGUAACUAGCCAACGUAAUGCUGGACUGCUGUGAAGCCUGCGGGUUUUGUGAAGUAACUAGCCAACGUAAUUUUGGACUGCUGUGAAGCCUGCGGGUUUUUACAUACGAAAGGUUAUAUCUUUGUAAGCUUAAUAUUUAUUGCUCUAAUUUGGCGCUUUUAUGCUUUACAAGUGGUUUUCGCUCCUUAGUAGCUAAAUAAAUAGCAAGGCUGACACAAACUGACAAGCAGCUUCCAUAUGAAUUCUAAUUUGAUUAGUGUAAUUUUGCAAUGAAUCUAAAAAACAAUCUGAUUGAUAAUGUGUUUUGAGUUAAUGAGCAUACUCUAUUUGAGCAACGGUCUAAGUGAAAAGUUAAUGAGCAUACUCUAUUUGAGCAACAGUUUACCAAGUGAAUUACACCCCCAGCUAGGCAAAUGAAAAAAUACAAGAAAAUAAUAGACAGAAGAUAUAGAUAAGAUGGAUGGAACCUUUAUCUGCAGCAACAACACGGCAAGGCAUACAAUGUUUUCCAUCCUCUGCAUGUCAGAAGGUGAACGAACUUAAGGCAAGCUUGGUGACUCCCCGCACUGCGCUCGUAUGUGUUCGAUUUUUGCAAAACAUUGUAUAAAUAAAGCAAAAGACACCUACCAUCUAUUGCUCCAUUAGUCUCUCUUUAAUACAAACAGCAUUCACAGCAAAAUCCUGAGCGUGUUUAAAAUCCAACACGGGAAGAGGCAAUUAAGUAGCAACAAAUUUGGAAACAAAAGAAUAAUAGACAUCGUCUCUCUCUCUCUCUCUCUCUCAGCAUAGAGAAAUCUCCUUUUUUUCUCCUUUUUGUUUUUCUAAAACACAUCUAUAAAACAAACAACUGCAGCAAGAUGAGCAUUUCUACUGGCAGGAAAAUCAGGCAAUGCGAUUACAAAAAAUAGUCUGGGGUCUUGCGAGUCGUGUCGGGUUCAAUCUGCCGCGGUGCCGGAUCGAACUGGAGGAAGUUUUGAUCCAUAUUCUCCCCAAUCUCAAGUAUUGCUGCCAUAUUUCCGCAGCGGUAGCAGUAGUUCGGUGCACUAAAUACUGUGACUACAUUCUUGUCCUGUAAUAGAAGAAAUCAUUAAAAGCUCCAACUCGAAGAACAAAUUACAAAAUACAUCCUCGGAGCUUUAGCAGAAGUGCCGUCAAGCAGAGCUAUUUAAAAAGGCACUAAAAACAUUUUCAUUCGUUUUCUCCCAAUGAUUCCCACAAUAGAGGUUUUAAAUUGGAGCUCUUUAUUUUUGAGGUCUAGAAGCUCCUUUUAGCUUCCUGCCGUAGCGAAAGCUCCAAAAGUGUUUCACGUGUCAAAUUCAAACUUCUCUGAUUAGAGGAGCGUUCCAAAAGGUACGCCCGACCAGGCACUUCAAACAAUAAAGUCAUCUACCUGGCACCAAUUGUAACCUUCCAUGACAAGUUGGUGGGCCCUAGAGAUGAGGGAAAGGCCAUUAGUGUGGUUGAACUGUUGGGCUAUGUCUUGCCCGAAUGUGUAUCCCGCACCCCUUGGUGAAAUGCCCCACCCACACCGGUCAUCAGGAUCAGACCACAAGAGAUCGCACAUGGGUCCUUCAUGAGGAACCUACAUACAAGCGCAUCAAAUGCCAGCUGAACAAAAGCAUGCUGUCGCAUAUUGGAAUUCAUUUUUAAUCUUAAAAGGAAAUUGAUAAUCUUAUAGAAGGGCCACAUAAUUUAUGGAUAAAUUUUGUCCUAGAUCCAACCAGAUUAAGCGUAAACCUGCUCAACACGAAAGCUGCACACUGAACAAGGAAUAUAUAGUGCUGAGAAGAUUAACUAAGCUGAAAUGUUGAAAACACAAGUUUGAUAGUCCCAAGUUGCAGCAGUUUAAAAAGCAACCAAUUCAUACUACAGUCAUUUUUUUUUCAAAUAAAAUUAUCAGGUUUAAAUAGAAUGAGUUAUAUCAUGCUGAAACAGUAUGAAAGAUAAAUAAUUUUCCCAUUUCAGACUGACUUGACUAAUCACAAUACAAGUAAAUUAACUCAUAUGCAGCAUCAAGUGAACAAUUAAUCGCAUUAGUACAUUGAUGACCUAACGAGUAGACAGCUAACAACAAUCAUAGCUUUAGUAGACUAGUAUUAUUCUUAUGACACCAUGUUAAUAGUUGCGAAACAGUAGCAAGGAUGUUUAUACACUUAAUCUAGAAUUUGCCAUUCUUUUCACAUGCAACAAGCGUACAGCCUACAGUCAAAAGCAACUGGCAUUCAUACCUCCUGUAUGCGAUCAAGAGCACGAAUGUUAUCUAGUGUAUCCAAAGAUGGAGAAAGGCCGCCAUGUAAACAAAAUAUCUGCAAGAGACAAUUGUUUAUUAAUUGAGGUAUAUAUCUAGUACAAAACUGACACAGAUAUCAUGUACUAAUCAAAUAUGUGGACCUGGUUCUCAAUAAGAGCUGUAAGCGGCAGAUAGUCAAAUAGGUCAGUAAAAUACUUCCACACAUUUGCAUUCCCAUACUUUCGUAAGCAUUCGUCAUAAAAACCAUACCUGAAGAAGUCAAAAAGAAUCACUAGAAGACACCGAAAAUGCAUUAAGAGAGACGAUAGAUUUACCAUAAGAAAAGCAGAAGCAAGACAAUUCAUUAUAAAAGGACAAGAUAAAAAUGAGAAUCAAAAGAGUUUUCAUUUGACACCUAUUGAAACUUUAAGAACUGAAAGAAAACAGAAAUCAGUGACAAACCUCAAUUGUUGACACAGACAUAACAAUACGUACCAAUCUUGCCAAGAAGCGACGCGUAUAAAAAGUUGACAAAGAAAAAAAGAUACUAAGCUAAAAAAGAAUACGUGAGCUUCCUGCCAGCAAAGCAAACAGGAAAUACAAGGAAUAGACUUUCCUGGAGUAAACUUAAAAGCUGCUAUCAAUAUAGAGUUUUUGAAAAAGGACGGUAUGCCAGGAGAGUUUCUUGACUUCUCCUUCCUCAAUUGUCUAAGUUUGUGAAAUUUGUGUUGUAAGGCAGCCAUUGCAGCCAUUGUGUCAGGGGAUCAGACUUUUUAUAUAAGGACAACCAUUGUGUCAGGGAUUAGACUUUUUAUAGAAGGACAGCAGCCAUCGUAUAAUUCAUCAUUUGAACUGGCUAAUCUUCACUGUUUAAUUGCUACUGUAGCUGAAAGUCCCACUCUGCUAUGUUUAGAGUAUUUCAGUGCUCUAAGAAUAAUGAAUAGCAUCAAACUAUCACGAAUGUAGUGGUCAAUUAAUUUUGCUAGAGAGAACGACGCAUGCAUCUUGACCGUCUCAUAAAUAACGUAUAAACAGCUAAAAGAAUACAAAAAACUUACACUUGAGUUAUUUGCCUGCUCUCAUGAUUUCCUCUCAAUAUAGUAAUUCUGUCUCUAUAACGAACUUUCAAGGCAACAAGAAGUGUAACAGUCUCCACAGAAUAGUAACCGCGAUCUGCAGUAUGCAUAUCAUAAUAUGCAAUUAGCAAGACUUUGAGUCACUACGAAUAUAAUGGAAAAGUGACAAAAGAACAUAUAAUAAAUAGAUAUUAGCUUGAGAAAACAGCCUAUCUUCUUAUAUAUCACAAAGAACUUGGUUGCAUUCGCAAUCCUUUGUACAACAGAUACAUCAUCUUAAGAAAUCCAAAAGAGCCCAUAACUACAUUUUGCUUAAGCACCCCACACUAUCUCGAUGCAUAUGACAGUACAACAAAUACAACUUUGUAAAGGUCAUUGUUGGAUGCAACAAUGUGUCACGACAUUGAUCCAAUAGAGAGAAAACAUAGUGGUUAGCACGCAAAUAAUGCUAGACUCCUUAUAAUUGAGAAAAAACAGAAUAUGUAUUUGACAAUGACAAAAGGACGGUUGUGGUACAAAUGGGUAAAGUAUGUGAAUAAUGAAACGGUGACUUCAGUAUUACGUUGAUAGAAGAAGGAUGAUAGUGAACAUAAAAGAGCAGCCUGAUGUUCACAUAUUUCGGUCUUUGCGUCAUUCACACCAUCAUGAUAAUCUUAUUUACUUAAACAGAAGCUGGGAGAGGAAAUGAAUCUGUAUUUCAAAGGAAGUGAAAAUGGAGAGUUAGAGAUACAAGGAGAAAAUUAGUUGCUUCUUUUGGGCGGCACAGUUCUCAUUUCAGGCCAAGCCAAGUGGGAGGCAUCAUUUUGCACAUGCAGUACACAUAUCAACAGACUAAAAUUCGAGUUAUACACUAUUGCGGAUAAAUCUCUAAAGGGAUUAUCAUGUCAACUACAUGUUUUACUGAUUUGCACGAGGCCCUUAAAAUUUCUUCCACUGAAAGAAAUGGAGUCGCAACGUCAUAGCAACCAGAAUACAAAAAGCAGAAACUAAGAACUAAGCAACUGUCAACAUUUUGGCACGGUAUAAGUUGGCUUUCACAUAACACAGCCCCGAUAUACCUAAAUUCAUGAACUUUUAAGCUAGAAAGGACCUCUAAAUCGCGAGCUCCCGAAAAUAACUUCAUGAAAACAUUCAUAGAUAUUAAUCACAGAAGAUUCGACAAAACUACAAUCAGCUGCUCGAUUACCAAAUCCUCGCAAAAGUCACCAUUUUAGCACAAAUUAACAACCCGAAAUCUCCUAUUUAAGAAUAUGAUAACAAAUAAACCUAAAAGCAUGGAAGAUUCAACAAACCUACGAUCAGCUACUUGAUUAUCUAAUCCUCAGGAAAGGCACCAUUUUAGCACAGACUAGCAACCCUCAAUCUCCCGAUACGAGCGUAUGAUACCAAAAUAAACGUAGAAUCACAGAGAUUCCCAUCGAUUACUGAUCCGAGCGACUCACCAACGUAAUCCCCCAUGAAGAGGUAAUUGGUAUCGGGCGCGUCCCCUCCGAUACGGAACAGCUCGAUGAGAUCGUAAAACUGGCCGUGGAUGUCGCCGCACACGGUGACGGGGCACUUCACGGGCUGGACGUUCCACUCCUCCAUGAGGAUCGCCUUCGCCUGCUCGCACAGCGUCUUCACCUCCGCCUCGGGCAGGUACUUGCACUCCCUCAGGAGCUCGAUCUGGCGAUCCAGAUCCGCGUGCGACGGCAUCGUGCCCUCGGAUCUCCGCCGCCCGAUCCGCGACGCACGACGAUCGGACGAUCGAGAUCUCCCGAAAUCGCCCGAAACGGAAGGUUCCGAUCUUCCGGACGAGCGCGAUCACGCGGAUCGGAGCAUCGGUGGAGUGGAUCGGCGGGGAUUAGGGUUAGGGUUAGGGGGGAGGGAGAGUGUUAGGGUUAGGGUUAGGGUUAGAAUUGGGGGCGGGGAGUGGACGAGGAGAGGGAGGAGACGAUGGAAAUAUCCAAAUCAGAGUUCGCUUUCGCUCCUUCCUCCGUCUUUUAUAUGUUUUUUCUUUUUCUUUUUCUUUUUCUUUUUUUUUUUUUUUUGCUUUUUUUUAAAAAAAAUUUUUCGGAGUCGGAAGAAGGCAGAUCAGAUGCCUUUCCGGCCUACAGAGAUGAAGAGGCCAGAAGACUUUAAAAAUGAUAAUAAUAAUAAUAAUAGUAAUGGUAAUCUAAUAAAAAAAUGGAUCAAUAAAUUAAAUGCAAUUUUGCAAACAUAUCCCUCAGAACAUUUAAUUUGUUCCUUUUUGAAAUGUUUCUUUUCUUCUUUUGACCGGAUUCUAUGCAGGAUGAUAUGUAUGAAUCUUGUGCAUACCGUCCUAGGUGCCAUCGAAUUAGUGGUUUCUUUUUUUUAACAAAAAAAUAACAUAUUACUCAUUCCAUUUAUUUUUUUAAAAAAUAAACUUAGCUGAAAAUAUAAAACAACUAAAUUUUAAAUUUGGAAUCCCGAAUAUCAACCACCGAACUCUUUGCUACUUGUACCGGGGCCGGUCGGUCAAAUUACUAGUUUCUUACAAUUAGGUAUCGUUUGGUUCGGGGAUGAGUAAAAAGUGGGUAUUCUAGGGAUAGGUGUAAAUUGAGGUACAAGCGGGGAUUAGAUCAAUUUUAUGUUUGGAUGAAAAUUAGGUUAUUUCUGGGAAUAAGAAAAAUAAUGUUUGGUUAGGUAAGAUGGAAUAAGAAUUAAAAUAGGUAGCUAUAAAUAAAAAUUAAUAAUAUUAUCUCUUUCUUUAUAUUAGAAUUUGAAUAUGAAAAUCUUUCUUGUUAAGGCUAUACUUCCAUUUUCCUUUCUCUUAUGAGAUCCAUUUUGGUGAGCAACAUAUGAAUAGUAGUAAAAUUUUUCUGCUUUCAUUAUUAUUUAUUUAUGUCAAUACACACGCGGUAUGAUUUAAUGCACUAUCACAAAAAGUUCAUUUGCUUGGUAUAUUAAGUAGAUAUAUAUGUUUGAAUAUAGAUAGAUAUUAGUUUGUCGAGUUAGUAACUGCGCUAAUUGUUAUUUUCGUGUAGAAUUUGGUGCUGCGUAGUGCUGCUUCUUUCGACUUCUCGCUGUUGCUAGAAUAAAAACGUUCGGUGCUUAUCUUUCAAACACCCGUUGAUUAAUUUCAACGGUGGGAAGUUCAUCUAGUCUAACACAAAAUCUAUUGCAACCAAUCACUAACUUCUUGGGCCCCAUUUGAUGACAAUCAUUUUGAUCUCUUUAUUAAAUUCAAAAUUUUUGUCGCUUACAAUGCCCAAUUAAUAUAUGUAUUCAAUUCUAUUUCUGUCAUUGUUAAUUAGCUCGCACGAAAGAAAAAAAAAAUUCUAGAAAUAUUUUAUUAUAGUUUGUGGACAAUUAAUAUAUUUAUAGACGUACGAUUGUCGGUAUCUUAAAAACGUGUGCAUGACAUGUUGAAUUUGCAAAAAAAAAAAAAGAAAAAAAAAGAAAAAAAGAAAAAAAAGAAAAAACCUUGUCUUAUUAUUUCUUGACUUUUUUUUUUAUUUUUUGUAAAACUUAGUCGUCUCACACGUGUAGCUAACUUUAUUUAGCUAAUGAAUGGGGCAGAUAAUUUGCUAUCUUUUUUUUUAAGAAAAAAAUUGUAAUUAAAUAAGCCCUAAUUACAAGAUAUUUAGUUCAAAUAUGAAACAAGCUUGAUUGCAUGUAGGGUUUGCACUUGAGCUCUAUUUGGAUGUCCCAACAUAUCAUGAGACUUUUAUAAUAUGAUUGUAACUAAAGAGUUUGAUUUUUAUUUAUUUAAAAUUUUGCUAUUUAUGAUUUGGUAGGAUAUAUAGUAUAUUAAUUUUUCUUAUGAGAUAAUUUAUCUAAAUCUGAAAAAAAAAACCUUAAUUAAUGCCAAACAUGAUAUUCCAUUUUAAAUAUUUGAUCAUAUUCUUUAUUCAUCAAAUACAUAAAUUUCUUGAGUAAAUUAAGAAAAUAUAUUGAAUAAUUAUUCAUCCAAAUAGGAUCAUGAUAUUUUAGCAAAAUAUAUAAUAUAAAUUUUUUAAUCAAAUUGGAGUACAAAUUAACUGUAUAUUAAUGUGAAUCUCUUGGGUCAAGGGAUUUAGUACAUACCGAUCCUUAAAGCAACCAGAUUAAGUAACUUCUAUAGAACCAAAUUGUACUCAGCAAAUAUCCUUACUUAUUACAAGAAAAUAUAUGAUAAUUAAUUGUACUAAAAAAGGUGUAUCGAGAGAGUAAUUAAGAGGGGGUUUACAACACGGAUCUAACAUAUUAGAAACCCGAACUACAUGAAUAUAGUACGUAGCUAGAAGAGAUCAAGGAUUCGAUCGGAUUUAAAAACAAAAAACACGGAACGAAACAAUCUAUAUGUAUACCAACUAGAGAACAAUUAAUAGAUCUAUUUGUAACGCCAUAUGCAUCCAUGCAAAGCUUUCGAAAGAAAAAUGUAAUAACAAUAUUGCUUCAGAUAGUACGUAGAUUUCAUGCUAUGCCCGGUCAAUAUCCAAGUAAGAAAACCAAAAACGCUCAUCAAAAUAAGAGCUACAACUCGAUCGAUCGAUCGUCGAUCGAUCGAUCGAGAGAGAGAGAGAGGGAACCCUAAACUAUUGAGGUCGGGUUUGGUUUAGCAUAAAAUGAAUCGAAAAAUUAUUUUUGGUAUGAAAAUUUUUUUUUGCUUGUUUAGUUGGACGUAAAAAUAUUUUUCAAAUAUUUUUCUGAGAAAAUAUUUUUACGAAUUUGAAAAAAAGUAAUUUUUUUAUUUUUCGGCAAAAACAAAAACUUAAGAUGUGUAAAAACUUUUCAUAUUUUUUUUUUUACUGAAGCAAACAAAUGUGAUUUUUUAUUCCUUUCAACCAAACAAAUAUGGAUAAGAAACCUUUUUCCUUUACUACAAAGUACAAACCAAACAUUACAAAAUAUAUGGAAAUUUUUUUUUCACGUUUACGUUGAGCCAAAUGGGCCCUAAACUGGAGGGAACUAAAGAACCAACUAGCUAGUAACAUUUUCCCCAUCUUUCCCUCUCACAGAGUAGCUCCGGCAAUCAAUUAGCACCACCAGAAUCCGCCCCCAUCGUCGUCAGCUCGAUGUAAGAAUUGCUCUGCUGGUCGUUGUUGCCGUGGGCCGAGGUGACCCCAAGGAGCCGCCACUGCGGCCGUCCCACGUUGAACGUCCCGCGGACUGCACUGGCCAAGUCUCUCAGCUGCGCCAGAGUCGACGGCCAGCCCGCCGCAGCCUCUCCAUCUUCAUCACCCUCGUGGGCUGGCCCCUGAUCCCCCCAGCAGGCCCAGAUCUUGGCCCGCACGGCUGCCGCCGCUUGUUUGACCUUGGCUACUGCGGCUAUCAAGAGGGCGAUUCCGUCUUGGCCGAGCUUGCCGAGGCGGCUGCUGCUGCUCGGCUCGUCGUCGGGCUCAAUAUCGAUGUCAUCUGCGUUCUCGACGUCGGCGAUUGCCGGAGGUACCAAGCUGAUAAAAAAUUAAGUAGAGGAAAAUUAAGAUAGAGAAUGUGAUCGAUCGCACUCUCUUCUUAGCUUUGCAAUGAGACUGCAUGUGUUCGAGUACGAUGACGAGAAUAAAUGGAAGUGUUGCAUGGCAUUUUAUAAUGCGAGAUGGAAAAGCUACUUAAGUACGUGUGGAUGAUUCAGUUUGGAUGUUUGCAUGGGUAUUUUUUGACCAAUUGUUCAAUACUUGAAAAGACUUUACAAAUAUAUAUUACAAGCAUAGAACCAAUAUGUAUAUUUUUUUUAAAAAAGAAUGUAGAGAUCUAACACGAGAUAUGGCCAUUUAAAACUGAGCAUUUAAUUUUCUUUUUAAUUAAGUUUCUUAAAAAAUGUAAUUGUAUGAAAGAUAUAAAAUAACUUUAAUCAAGUUUAUAUUAAAAAAAAGAAUGGUCACCAAAGUGGAGAGAGAUGGUUUUGGCACUUACGCAGUAUCGGCCGCCACAGCUACGGCGGGUGGUUGACUGGAAGGAACAACCUGCCCGCCACCACCGCCGCCGGAGGUGAUUGUCUCAAGCCGCCGCAUCCACGGCGUGUUGAACGCCCUGGCCAUGGCUUGGUUCGCUUCGCCUUCGUCGACCUCAUCGACCGGCCCGCCACUGCCCCAGCAGGCCCUGAUCUUGGCCCACGCGAACGCUGCCGCCUUCUUGACCAGGCCAAAGGCACCGAUCAAGAGCUUGAUCGCGCUGGUGACGAACAAGCGGAAGCGGAUGCAGCAGGUCGGCCCAGUGUCGACCUCCUCACGGCGACGGUUCUCCAUGUCGGCGAUUCUUGGACGUGUCAAUUGAUGAACUGGAGAAGAAAAUUAAGAGACGGAGAAAGAAAUAAUUAAAGGAAAUAUAUAAGAAGGGAACUAGGGACGGAGAAGAUGAUGAUAACUACACUCUUCUUUGCUUUGGAACGGAGUUGUGUUCGAAUACGAGGGGAGCGAAAUGGAUGUGUUGGUCUUUUAUGGAAGGAAAGGGCAGUUGACGGAAACAGUUAGGGCCCUGUUCGUUAAUAGUUGAGUGGAAAAGCUGAUUGAUUACAUGAAUGAUUCGGUUGUAGGUUUGCAGGGGUUAUGUAUUGUUUUUGUGUAUAAUCCCGUGCCUAGAAAAUCUUACACGUUUAUUUUUUAUGCUCAUUAAUCUAUACCGUGCAUUAUCGGGCGAAGCAGAUUAACUCUACUGCUAAUGAUCAGGAGUUUUUAUUUGGACUAAUUAAAGCUUGGCUUUUUGUUCAUUAGGAAUGUGAAGAUCAAUAAUGAUUUGGGGAAAAAUUAAUGUCCAGAGCCAAUCUGAGCUAUGAGUUAUACUGAAAUACGCACUAUCUAACUUUUUAAAAUUUUUAGUUGUAUUGCACAAUUUGAGUGUUUAAGAUUGAUAGGUCGUUUAGCAAAACUAUGAUCGCAUGAAUUCAAUUAAUUACAUGUAAUUAAGUACAUUAAUUAAAACAAGUGAUGCUGUGGAUCAAAUAAUAAAAUAAAACAGAAUUAAAGAACUAGACAUAUAGUUAAAUUGAAACUUUAUAAAAAUUAGGUACUCGUUUCAAAAUGAACAGGCUAUAUGGUAAGUGUUUUCAUCAGCUAGCGAAUCAGAAAAGGAAAGGAAAAAAAAAACACCUUUAUCAACCAGGUUUUUAGCAUUUACGUACCAAAGAUCAAACUAAUUAAGCUUGGGUUUACGUACAAGAAAGACGUACAGAUCAAAUUAAGCCUGAGUAGUUCAUAUAUAAAAAAAGAAACCUGCGAUAACAACUAGAGAACAAAAAUAGACCCAUAGAUGAAUUCCUAAUGAAUUAAGGAUGCAUACAUGAAAAAGGUCUCAAAAUUUAUGUAUUAUCGCUUCGCAUAUAUAGUAUCUAUAGUUCAUUAUCGUCAAAAUUUAUGUAUUAUCGCUUCGCAUAUAUAGUAUCUAUAGUCAUUAUCAAAGCUCUCUGAAACUCAAAUUCUUGCAAGAUGUCCAAUAGUUACAAGAUCUAUCAACCACCAUUUUAGGAAACAAAUAAGCAACUGCUAAACUACUACACCGUUUAUCUAAUCUCCUCCUUCCUCCUCAACCUCCUGCAGCGGUUUCAGCACUUACACACCAACUCCCUCCAUCGCCACUGCUGCCACCAAUGCCUCUUCAUAGCUGCUGUCGCUGCUGUCGCUGCCGUCGCUGCCGUCGGAGACGAUCAGCCGGUGCCGUAGCCUCCACGGCAUGCCGAACAUACUAGCCUCUCCGCCUUCGACCCCAUGGGCCGGCCCAUGAUUCCCCCAGCAGCCCCUGAUCUUGGCCCACGCGCACGCCGACACCUUCUUGACCAGGCCAAAGGCGGCGAUUGAGAGCUCAAUCGCGUUGGCGAGAAGCAGGCGUGAGCGGAUGCUCCAGAUUGGCUCGCCAUCGAACUGGUUGAGGAGACCGUUCUCCAUGUCGGCUAUUACCGGACGUCUAAGUCGGUCCAUGGAGAACGCAGUAAAGAAAAUGAGAAGAGGGGUGAUCGAUCACCACGCUCCUCUACGCUUUGCAAUGGUGUUGUGUUCGAGAACGAUGAGGGGAGCAAAUGGAUGCGUUGCAUGGCUUUUUAUAAUGAGAAAAUCCGUUGACGGUUGGACGGUUGGAAUUACGGUUAUGCCCCUGUUCGUUAAUUAACGAGGUGAAACUUGAUAGGCUGCUUACGUGGACGAUUCCGUUGGAGGUUUGCGGGGGUAUUUUGGACCAAGUGGAGCUGAGUUCUUUGUUCGUUGCAAACGUCAGGGUUAAAAAUUUUAGGAAACAUGUAGAUAACUAAUUAUCUUAGAUACGAGUUAUUUUACAAUAACUAUUUUAUUUUUAAAUAUUCAAAUGCUAUUAUUUAAUAUUUUAAGUUUUUAUUUUAAUUUGACUAAUUUGAUAAUUCUUUUAUUGUGUAAUUAAUUUGAGAGAUAAGAUGUUCGCUUGUGCAGAAAUACUAUUUUAAUUAAGUCCAGUAAAGCAAAUGUUUCUUUAAAAACAAAUAAUCCAAGCUAAAAAAAAUAAAAUGCAGGUAUAUAUAGUAUGAACUGAAAUUAGUAAUUGUAAAAAUUAAUUAUGUUACUUGUUUUAAAAUUAAUGGACUACAUAUACAUACAUAUAUAUAUUACGUUCGUCAGCAUUUCCCAUCUAGCAAACCUUCAUCUAACUAAUAGCUAUAAAACAUGUCCAUAGAACAGAUCAAUUAAAGCUCGAGGAAAAAAAAAGGAAAAGAAAACUAUGUACGAACUAAAGGUACAAAGUAGGUCCAUUUAUUUCUGAUUAACGAUGUACACAUGCAAAGCUCUCAAGAAAAUCAGCAAAAAAUAUUACGCUUCAAAUAUAUAAUACGCAGAGUUCAUGCUGUACAUAUACACAGCGUGAGACUAAAACGAUCUGAAGCGUUCAAUAUCAAAAGUCUCUAUAAAAGAAAAAUUCUUGCAAGCUAUAGAAGAGCUCGAUCGCUACAAGAUCGACCAACAAUGCAACAUUCUAAGAGGCAAAGACAAACCCUAAACUACUAAACUGGAGGAAAUUAUAGAAACCACUGAAAACCAUUUCCUCCUCCUUCGUUCUCCUCAACCUUGACACAUGCCGCCGCCUACACAAGUUGGAUGUUAGGAACAACCCGCGCGUUGUUGCUGCUGCUUCCAGGGAAGAACCUCUGGCGCAGCCCGAGAUCCUCCCAGCAGAUCUUGAGAUCGUCCCACACGCAUGCCGCCGCCUUCCGCACCAGGCCAAACACCGCCAUCGGGACCUUGACAAUGAGCUGGCGUAAGCGGAUACAGCCGCUCUGCUCUUCGCUGUGCUCCAUGUCCGCGAAUCUUGGACGUGUCAAUCGAACUGAAUUGAUCAAAUACGGGGGAAAAAAGAAAUGGAGGUGAGAAAAGAAUUAAACGAAGGGAAAAGAGUAGAGGAGAAUGGUGGAGACGAUGACCUCUCUCUUCUUACUUUGCUCUGAAAUGGAGUUGUGUUUCGAGUAUUACGAAGGGAAUGAAUGGAUGUGAUGGCUUUUUAUAACGAGAAACGGCGGUUGACGGUUGGACAGUUGGAUUUACGGUUAUGCCCUCCUGAGUGGGAGAGCCGCUUACGUGCAUGGAUUGCGCAGGGUAUUUUCGUCGACCAAUUACAGCUCGAGUUAAUUUACGUACGUGCAAAUAUAAUUAUUUUUUUAAUAUUCUAAUAUUGUUUAGUAUUCGGUAAUCGGUAGCCCGCAGCAUAAAGGGAGUGAGGGGAUUUUCUUUUAAAAUAACAAUCCUUUUAUAAAAUUUUAAUUUCUCCCUCUACAAUUUUUAACUUUUUUUAUUUGAUCAGCUAAUUAAUUUGGUGACUUUUUUAUCGCAUAAUUUGGGUUCAUAUAAUCGAGAUUUUCUAAGCAAGCGAAUUAAACCAAGUGAUGCUUCAAAUCAAAUUAUUCAAAUUAAAAAUAAUUAAAAGAUUAAUUUUUUUUUUUUAGAGAUAGGUAGCAUACUACCCGCUUCGUUUAUUUUAUUUAGAAAUAAACUUAGCUAAAAAUGUAAAUCAAUUAGGAUUCGAACUCGGAAACUCGAUCGAGUACCAACCACCAGGUUCUUUACUACUUGCGCUAGAGAGAGUCGGUGAUAAACUUAAAAUUUUAAAAGUCAGAUAUGUAGUGGUUUCAAAAAUAAUUAAUGUACUAGUUUACGUGCAUUAGAUCACUUCCUUACGCUUCCAUGCAUUUAUUUCUAACGGCUUAUGCAUGCAAAGCUCGCAAAAUGUACGCAAUAUUGCUUCAGAUAGGACGCAGAGUUCAUGUUGAUCAGUGAUCCCAAAAAGAUCUGAAACAGUUUGUCACCAUCCAAAGCUCCGUAAAAAAAGAGCUCAAAUUCUUUGCAGAUAUGAAAGAGCCACAUUUAGAUCAACCAACCACCAUUUCAAGAAAUUAGGAGGGGAAAAAAAAAAAAACUAAACUAGUAAAACAGCAACAUUGCCUCCUGUUGCCUACGUCACAGACUCUUUUUAUACACGAUCUUCUUCAUGGUUUUUUACGUACGUACGUACACCACCUCUUUAAUCUCCUCCGGAGGCAGUUUCAGCACUCGAGCACCGCCACCGCCCGCCGCCUCUGCCAAUUGUACGGAAGGUCCGCUCUCUACAUUGCCGUCGUUAACGCAGGCCGAGCUGAGCCCUAGCAGCCGCCGCCUCCACCCCAUGUUGAACAUCUCGGGGACGACUAUCAGUUCCGCCGGUGUCGUGGGCUGGCCUGCGGCCUCUCCGCCUUCCUCGACCGCAAUGGGUGGCUCCUGAUUCCCGCAACAGGCGCAGAUCUUCAUCAGCACGGCUGCCGCCGCCUGCUUGAUCUUGGCAAUGGCGGUGGUCAAGAGGACGAUUCCAUCGUCGAGGAGCUUGCUGAGGCAUCCGUCGUCGAUCUGAUCGCCGCUCGCCAUGUCUGCGAUUCUCGGACCUAUGGAUCCAACCGAAAGGGAAAAGAUCAAAGGGAGUGAUCAAGAUGAAGAAUUAGUAAAAUAAGGAAACAAAUUAAGAAGAGAUUUGAAUGUGGAGAAGGUGAUCAUCACCGCUCUCUUUUUCGGCUUGAAAUAGAGUUGGGGUUCGAGUAGUGUUAGUGGGGAGAAUAUAUGAACGGACGUUUUGAAGUUUUAUAACGAGAAACGUACGGUUAUACCCCAGUUCGUUAUUUAAUUAGAGGAAAAUCUGCUGACGUGGAUGAUGUAGUGGAUUUGCAGGGAUGCUUUGGGGAGAAAACAUCAGUAAUUAGGAGCACCCCAUGACGUCUCGCGGGGGAGGAAUUCUACGCUGUCACACUUGCACCACGUCAUCAAUAAUAAGUCAAUCUUUUUUUUUUUCAAACAAAAGUACAAUAAAAAUACUUUUUUACAAUCAUGAUGGGACAUAUAUUCUUAAAAGAAUUAAUUUGAUUGAUUUGUUACGCCACGUCACUAAUAUACCCGUUGCAUUCUAGAAUUUUUCCUCGCGGGGAGCUCCCGAUUUACUGUAGCAUAUUACGUUUGUUUCCAUCCAAAUAUUUAUUGAAUAUACUUUUAUAUUAUUUUUUAAUUUUAUUUAAAUUUAUUGAUACAUUAUAGCUUAUCAGAAACUAAUUAACUAGAAAUCGUCCGAGAACUCUGUGUUAAAAUUUUGUCCCUACUGGAGACUGCAUAAAAUUGUGUAAUUAGGAAUGCAAGUGGUUAGAUCUAGGGGAGAAACUCUGCCCUGCCUCCCGAUCCGACUACAAAAAUUUCAUCCUGCCUCCCGCCCCGAAUUCAUGUAAGAUUAAAAAAACUUAUCUCAUAUUCAUCCCGCCUUAAUUAUCUCCUAGCUUUGUCGGCAGUCUGAAUCGAUUCCACUAACUAAGACUUCAUUUAGAGUUGUGGAAAGAUUGCAUUACUCAAUAUUAAAUAUUUACAUUUAAAAUAUUUAAAUUUAAAUUAGAAUAAUUUUGUAUUAAUAUUUAAAAAUAAUAAUAUUAAAAAAUAUUUAAAUUCAACAUAUUUAAUAUAUUUAAGAAACUUUUAAAUUUCUUUAGUUUGACAUUAAUUUUGUUUUAAAUUCAAAAUAUUUAAUAUGUUCAACAAAAUUUUGAAUUUUUCUUGUUUAGACGUUAAUUUUGUAUUACUAAUUUAAAAUUUUGAAUGUUGUCAAAUAAUUUGAAACUUUCUUACAUGAAAUGACAAAAUAUAUGCAGAUCUGGAGGAAAGAUAGAGAGAGAAAAAGAAGAGAAAAAUAGAAAAGAGAUUUUGUAGUAGAGGUAAAAUUACAUAAUUAUUCACGUAAUAAAUGACAAAAAUAUUCCUUAUUAGAGUACCUGGUAAUCGGUACCUCUCUCAAAGUGACAUGCUAUUGCCGGUAGGGAUGGCAAUCCAGCUUGCUAUUCGCGAGCCAGCUCAUUUUCGGCUCAAAAUAAGCUUGAGAUCGAAUCGCUCGUUUAGUAAACAAACCGAACACGAGCUGAAUUUUUCACCUCGUUUAAUAAACGAUCCGAAUACGAGCUGGGAUCAGCUCGCUCGUGUUCGGCUCAAUAACAUGCUAUUCUCGAUCCGACUACUAAAAUCCCGCCCUGUCUCCCGUUCCGAAUUCGUGGAUUAAAAAGAUUAUCUCAUAACUCGCCCCGCCAUAUAACUCGCCCCCGUCGGCGCCCCGAAUUCGUCCCGCCAAUUAAUAUUUUUUUUACUAGCUAUAAUAUUAUCAAUAUUUUUGUAAAUAUAAAUCAAUAAUUUUUUUAAUAAAAACGAAUAAUAUUGUUAAGUUAUAUAUAAUUAAUAACAUCAAUUAUGAAAAUAAAAAAUAUCAAUCACAAUUUUUCGCACCCAAAUUCAAAAGUGUUAAAUACAUAUAUGCGAAAGAAAAAUGUUUACUAAAAUUAUAACACCAACUUAUUUAUAGAUUUUUUUUUUUUUGUAGAUGUAUUAUUUUCAAGGGUAUUUUUUUAAAAUCAUAAACGGGUACCGUUAUAAAUUUUGGGUGGAUUCAGAGCAGAUCAAAAUUUCUCUUAUUUUCUGCCCCGGAUCCGUCUUCGAUCAUAAUAGUCACCUGACUUUCAACCCUAAAUUUAUUUAUUUUUCUUCAUUUACUGUCUCAUUCAAAACAGAGCGGAAGUUCGGAACAAAAGCUCCACCAACCACCAUCCAUUUGCAUCCCUAUGCAUCCCUGUGUAAUCUGACUUGUGUGACUAUUUGUUGCCUGCACCUAGUGCAGCGUUAUCUUAUUACACCAAAUCCUUAUCCGUAUAUUAUAUCUCAUCCAGUAUUUUGAUAAUUACCACUAAUUAAUUAGAUAAUCGAAACUUUUUAAAUUUAAAACUUGGAUGUAUAAUUGGAUUGGAUAAAUGUAACUAUAAAAGCUAGUGUUAGAGGGCGCGAGCUUACUCCGAAAAUAUAGUACCUCCCCUUUAUUAAUUUUAUGAUGAAGGCUUAAAGAGCUAUCUCACUCUUGAAACUGCCAAGGGAAAAAAAAAAAAGGUAAUGGUUGAUACAGGCAGAGUCCCAAUUUAUUGCAUUAAGUUAAAUUCUAAUGCCAACAAUUUGGUACUUCCUACUUGUAAAUUAAACAAUUGAGAAGCAUUCUAAUUUGGUACUCAUUAUUGCAAGUGCGUUAUUGGCGCAGUGUAACGCGGAAAGACCACCAGCGAGAGCGCAUAUACACGACUGUAUUAACUGCUCUAUAGAGAAUGGACCCCAGAAAUUCGAUUAUAUAUAUAAUAUUAUAUAUAAAUAUAUAUAUAUAUAUAUAUAUCAUAUAUAUAUAUAUAUGAACACUAUAUUACUUGCUAUUAAUUAGAUAUCAAUCAUUAGUGCCUAAAAAUUUUUGGCCAUUAGAUUAAAAGCGAUUGGGUGCAGUUAGGAUUGAUGUGGCUCUAGAAUUGAGGUGGGGUGGGUAGUUGAAUUUGUAUGAUCUAAUCGAAUAAAAAUAAUCAAAAGAAUUUAAUCUUCAAUGAGACGAAAAAUUUGAUAGUACAAAGCAUACGUUUGUGCUAUCAAUAGCGUAGUAACCGAACUCUCCUCUCCUUCUCUCUCUCUCUCUCUCUCUCUCUCUCGUCUCUCUCUAUAUAUAUAUAUAUAUUAUAUAUAGUUUUGAGCCUAGAAUACUCUCAGAAAGCCCAUAGGCGAUAGGGUGCCUUUUGAGUUUUUUAGCCAAUUGGAUGGAGAGAUGUGAGCGGUUGGAGAUGAUGGGUGGUAGAUGUGCGUAGGUGGAAUAGUGUUUUGAUCAAGCGAGCCAUUAGUAAUCAAGGAGUAAAUCCAAUGGGCCUUAAAACCUAAUAGAUCAUUCGGGAUUGAUACUUGUAAAAAUAUUUCGUAUUCUCAAUUAUAUAUAUAUUAUAUUAUAUAUAUAUAUAUAUAUAUAUAAUAUAUUACUGAACUUCCAUAAAACAAAUUGCAGAUCGUCCAAUCAUAAAAAUGCGACUUUAGUAAAAAUUUUCAUAUUAUAUAGUAAAAGAGUUUAAAAGUAAAAUUUUCCCGCUCACUUCAAUUAAUGAAUAUACUUAUUAAUGCUUUAAAGAAAUAGCUUCAGCCAGUGCCAUCGCAUCUAUUUAACAAACGGACGAAGGAUAAGGUAUUUUAGUAUGAACCUCACAUAAUUAAAUAAAGAACUAGGAAACCAAGUCACUGAGACAGAAGACACACCCAACAAGAGAACCUUUUAUUUUAUUUUGUACUUUUCACUCAACACGCUAUUAACAGACUCUGAAUAACACAGCAAAAGCAGCUAUUUAAACAACGACAAACGCAUUCCACCUUGGCAGAGCAUCCUCCUCACGCUCAUUACACUCGCAACACCACCUCCAUUUCCCACAAUUCUCUCAGGUUCUCUCUCUCUCUCUCUCUCUCUCUCAGUUGACCUUGACCUCGAUGCUCUUCGGCUUCUUCGGCUCCGGCGGGGGCAUCCUCUCGACGGUGACGGUGAGCACCCCGUCCUUGUACGACGCCGAUAUGGAGUCCAAAUUCGCGUUCUGCGGAAGCGGGAACUUGCGCAUGAACUUCCCCAUCCUCCUCUCCAUCCGCAGGUACUUGCCUCCUUCUUUCUCCUUGUCCUUGUCCUUCUCCUCUCCCUCCGCCGCGCCCUUCUCCUCCUUCUCCCUCCUCCUCUCCCCGCUUAUCACGAGCACGUUGCCCUCCUCCACCUGCACCUUGACGUCGCUCGGGUUCACCCCGGGCAUGUCCACGGUGAGCACCAGCUUCCCCGAGGGGAGCUCCUUCACGUCCAUGGGGGUGUUCGCCAUGGCCUUGCGAUCGCGCACGUACGCGCGCGUCGGCGCGUUGAAGGCCUUCUCCACCUCCUCCGGGAUGUCCAUCAGUUGCUGCAGCGUCGAGAAGAGCAUCGGGUCCUCGAAGCCCAUCAUCACCUCCAUCAAUGGCGAUCGAAUCGCUCGCAAUCUAAUGUAGGGACUUUUUUUUUUUUUUUUACUCUCGAUUCGCUAGGGUUUUCGUAGCUGUGCGAUUUGGGAGAAAGGGCGAGGUGGGGGAUUUAUACGGGGAAGGGGAAAUUUCUAGAGAGGUUUUUCCUUUUCCUUUUUCAGAAAUUGAAAGUGGUUUAAACUUUUUUUUUUUUUUAAAUUGAUCGAAUUGUAGAAGAGAGUGGAGCGACGGAAGGUUCUGAGAGCUUCUCGUAACUGUCGCCACGUCGUAGGAGGUUCGAGUCUAUCGGUGCCACGUGCGAUACACGUGGCCCCCUCCCAUAUAUUUUGGGCUGGAUACGGCCCACCAACUGCCCAUUAAGGCCUUUUAGGCCUUGGUUAAUUAGCCAAUGGGAAUUGGGAGGUCAUGGUUGGGCCUAGCCACUGGGCAAAGUAGGCAAGGCCGAUUGAAUAGGCCCAUGUAGGCCCGAUCCAUAAACUAGUUUUCAAUAAUAGUGGGAUGGAUCCGGGUCUAACUUGGUCAAUUUUAUACUCCGUUAUUGGGUCGGGUCGAAUUGUUGAUCCAGGUUGGUUUUGGUAGAGUCCACUCUUGCGAUCCAAUCUCCAAUCAUGCACGGGACCAAAGCCAAGUCCCUAGCUACUGACCAAGUUUAACACAACACGCCAUUUUCAAGUAACAAUACAAGAAGAAGAGGAGGAGAUCGAAUGAGCCGUGCAAGAUUUUGUCCAUUACUCGUGAUCAUCAGUGUUAAUGCCAUGCACGCAUAGAAUUUUCUUGACGUUGGAGCAGUAAAUUACAGGUUCUAAUUGCCUAUGAUCCAAGUUUGAGCUAGUGGAUUAAAAAAGUACUAAAAGAUACUCAAACGACAUAACUAAAAUGCUCUUUGGUACAAUAAUGGCAGAUAUAUUAUUAUUAUAUAUAAUAUAAUGUCACACGAAGAGACCGAGGAAUAAAGCAUUCACUAUAGUUUUGUGUGGAAGGCAUUCAAUUAUUGACUUACUAUGUCCAUUCACGCUAUAAGGAAUUAAAAACAUAAAAUAAAAAGCUACAAAGUGCAUGGCCUAUCCCUAACGAGAAUCAUUCGAAGCGUAAGGAGCGAGAGUGAAUGAAGUGCCACUUAAUCAAGGCUCUUUAUUCCCAUAACAUCGUCGCUAUGUAAGUACAAGUUAAUUCCUCUCGAUGUCAUGUCGUAAGAAAUUCGCGGCCCAUAGUGCGUUCCUUCGUUAUUAUUCUGCUGCAUGGGUAAUCUUUAUGGCAAGCUCAUGCACUGCAAACAACUACUUGAUGGGCAUCUGUUUGAGGUGAAGCUCAGCUUAGAGAAAUCUUAUUUGCUUUAUGUAUUACGUACACAGGUUUUAACUUAAAUUUUUUAAGAAAAUUUAUGAUACUAUACUCAUCAAAACCUGCUGUAUUCAUUCUUUGUACUCUAGCCAGUUGAUUGCUCGACUUACAUUUUAUCAUCUGUUUAUUUCAUCUUGAUGUACUUUUGUACGUUUUAUGAGCUUUGCUCAUUGUGAUGCCUCGCACACGAGUAUGAACUGGGUUAAAAAAAAAAUAAAUAAUUAUUAUUAAUAUUUUGAAAAAAAACUAAAUAUUAAAUAGAAAACCUGAUCUUUUCCAGCUUAAUGUCAGUUGGAAAGGAGCGCCCUGAGAUUCAAUCUAAAUGAUCGAGUGGUUAAGUGGAAAUACUCUCCGCACUAUUUCAUAUUUACUGUUAGACUUCUAUUUCAUCUGCCUAAGUCAAAAUUCUAUUUCGUAUUUAAUAUUGAAUUAUUAUUCUCAACAACACGCAUGGCAAGAAAUUCUUACCACUCACAAGUGAUAGCCUCCGUCCAAAUUCAUCAAGCUACCGAAUCGUUUUACUCCCCUCGAAUUGAAUUAUAUGCUCACAUGAAUGAAUGUGUAAUCGAACAAAAGUGCUUCUUGUGAUUAGUUGCCUCUGUUUCAACCAGUGCAGUUAGAUAAAUUAGGAGCAAUUUCAUUAAAAUCCACUUCCUCCAUCUACAUCAAUUUUUUUUUUUUUUUUUUUUUUUUGAGAACUAGGUAGCAAGCUAUCUGCUUCAUUCAUUAAGCAAAAUGAAUUAGGCGUACAUGAUGGAAGCAGCUAGGGCCUCCUAACCGUGCCAUCAAAACUAGGAAAAUCAAAAAUAAACCAAAAAAAUAAGUCCGUAAAACGGGAAAACUAAGAUAGAGCAAACGGAGGAAAACUAAGUAAACACGGGUAAGAGAACAAAGGAAUUGAAACGAGAUUAAUACCACGACUUCAAAUAACUUCGGUCUAAUCUUUGAUCAGAGCCGCGACUUGUUCGAGAGCCCGGGAGGCGUUGGGAGACCCGUUUCGGAAGAUGAUCAUGUUUCGCUCCGUCCAAACGACCCACCAGAUUGCCACCAACUGGAUUAGACUUUUCGAUCUCAUUACGGCGUUGGAGUUGUUUGAGAUCCGUGUUGAUAACCGCCGAACAUCCCCCGCGUCCGACUCAACCUCCACUGAAACUCCGGCCUCAAUUCGAAGGCAUCUGACGAAAAUACAUUUACGAAACAUGUGGUCGCAGGUUUCAGCUAGUAACACACAAAACAUGCAGUGCUGAUCCACAGGACUCCCUCGGCGAAUUAGUCUGUCCGCUGUAAGUAAUCUCUUGCGCAAAAAGAGAUUUACCGGUAAAAUUUUGAUUAGCAGUCCAUCGCCACAAUAGCUUAUCUUUUGUGCCCAAUGGGCGAUACUGAGUGAGCAGGUUUUUUAGCAACGUGAUAUUUUGGCGGUUCUGGGGAUUGGUAUUAGUAGUGAGGCCUCUGGUUAUGAAACGCCAUCUCCACCCUCUUUCAUUCCAGCAUUGUGAGACUGUGACGUCUUGAUUCACGAUUCUGCAAAAUACUCCAGAAAAUCAGGUGCUAAGAGGGAUUUCUUUGAUCCAAAUAUUCGUCCACCACCUGAUGUUUUUUCCAUCGCAAAGCACAUACGAGAUUCCGCAUUUGAACAUGUCUCGACAGCUCAUCACGUUUCUCCACCACUGAGAGUAAGGUCUGAAAGAUCUUCCCUCGUGUAACGAUUUUUUUUCUAGUGUAAUACAAAGCUGUGAGCAAUCUCCCCCAUAACAGGUGUCUCUUAUUGAAAAAACGCUACCACCAUUUAGUUAAGAGUGCCUUAUUCAUUAUUCCAUAUUUUUGAUCCCCAGACCUCCUUCUCUUUUACUUUUACAUAUUGUUUUCCAACCAACGAGACAUGAGCCAUCUGAAAUUUUGGAGCAUCCUUUUCAAAAGAAGGAUCUUCUAAGGGCUUCUAUACGGUUCAGAACCCAUUGUGGCACUUUGAAAAUUGCGAAGUAAAAAAAUAGGAGAUUCGAAAGUACCGAAUUGACUAGGAUUAAUCUGCCUCUUUGUGAAAGUAGUUUUGCCUUCCAUCCUUCGAUACGCAUCUCUAUACGGUUAACGACCGGAGCCCUAAACCCUAAACCCAUCUACAUCAAAAUUUGAACUUACGAUUCUGCGUUUUUAGUUUUACUUUAAAAGUUAAAUAUUUAACUGGACUAUUUUUAAUGGGUAUCCGCUUACCAGCGGUAUUUAUUGAACUCGCCCGAUAUAAUUAUAUUAUAUUUAUAACGGGUUUUUAACUCGUAUACGUAUAAACGGAAUCUUUGGAAGUUCGGAUAAUCCGAGAUACAAUUUUCACCCCUCUAUAAAACCGCCUCCCCAGGGGUUCCUGAGGAAGAUACGGCGCUGGACAAUGGCGGAGGAGCAAAACGUCGAACAGUUUAAGGGCCAAGCGCGCCUCCCCAAAUUCGCAGCCCCAAAGCGCUACGACCUUUUCCUCAAACCCGAUCUGGCCUCGUGCACAUUCUCCGGAUCCGUACGCAUCGCCCUCGACGUCGUCGGCCACACCCGGUUCCUCGUCCUCAACGCCGCCGACUUGGCCGUGAAGGAGGGCUCCGUGUGGUUCCGGAGCUCUUCUUCCUCCGAGGUGAUUCUCCGAUCCAGAUUUAGUAAAAAGGUCUCAUUUUUAGGGUUUUGAUCGUUCUCAGUUUCGGUCGGAUUGGUUUGCGCUAGGAGAUUCGCCCCGUGGAGAUUGUUGCUGUGGAAGGAGAUGAGAUUCUGAUCAUUAGGUUCGAUAGACUUCUUCCUCGAGGGGAGGGGGUUUUGGGGAUUGGGUUUCAAGGGACGUUGAAUGAUAAGAUGAAGGGCUUCUAUAGAAGGUAAUAAAAAUUCCCCCUUUUUCUGGGUUCUCACAAAUUGCUGUUCUGCUGUAAAUCUUCUAUAUUUCCCCUCUCCGCUGUGUAGUACUUAUGAAUACAAGGGGGAGAAGAAGAACAUGGCGGUUACUCAGUUCGAGCCUGUGGACGCUCGCCGCUGUUUCCCUUGCUGGGAUGAACCCGUUUGCAAGGUUCGUGAUCAACCAACAUUUCAAACAUUUCAAUUCGGAUUGGAAAUCGUUUUGAGUUCUGCAUAGGAUCGUGGUUAGAUAUGCCCCUAUAUUACUGAAAUGAAAUGAAAAAAGGAAUUUUUAUGCAGCGAGGUCUGUUUGCUUGAUAAGUUCAUUACACCAAGCCUCAAGGAGAUGUCCACCCUCUACGACUUGCUAUUUAUGCUAUUAAUCAUAUUAUUUUGGGCAUGAAAAGAGAGUAAUUGAAACCUGUAAGAGUUUAUAUUCUGCAGGCUACAUUCAAAAUAACACUGGAAGUUCCCUCUGAGCUGGUCGCGCUGUCAAAUAUGCCAGUCGUCGAUGAAAAGCUGGAUGGUCCUAACAGGAUUGUCUCGUUUGAAGAAUCACCGAUUAUGUCGACUUACUUGGUAGCUAUUGUUGUUGGCUUAUUUGACUACGUGGAAGCUUCGACAUCGGAUGGUAUGGGCCUUGCAUGUGAAAGAUUUCUUUAAUCUGCAUUAUUUUUUUUUCCUUAUCAAUUUUAGUAUUAAUACCAUGAUCAAUGCGAUAUUAAUCUCUUUCCGUUGUUUUCAUUUUUAUUUUAUUUUUUUUAUUUGCUCCAGGGACGAAGGUUCGUGUCUACUGUCAAGUUGGUAAGAGUAGCCAAGGAAAAUUUGCCUUGGAUGUUGCAGUGAAGACGCUGGAUCUGUACAAGAAGUAUCUCCCUUUUUUCAUUUCUUGCUUGAUUGUUGUUAAUCAUCUGAUUGCCUUAGGUUUCACUUUGCUCACUGUUGUGGUAUUUCUAAGACUCUAAUUUUAUUAUAUUCUGACGCUACUUCAAAAAUUAAUGGGUCCAUUUGUAACAGUCAUGUAGCAAUCUUUUCUCAAGGCCCACAAAAGAUGUUCCGUAUGGGAAGCAGUCAAGGUAACCAAGUGUUGGCAGCCGACCGCUCAAUUAAAAGACUUCCUUAGUUGGAUAUGCUAUCUUAUGAUAAUCAAACGAUUACCUGCAUCAAUGGGCCAUAAGACCAGUAUCUCAUUGAGAUGGCUAAAAAUAGUCCCUGCCUUGUGCUUAAGCAAUUCCCUCUUUUUUGCUUGCUCUUUUCUUGUGCUCUACUUUGAAACCUUUUCAGGUUGGGAGAAUUGGACUUUGCUCCCUCUUUAAAUUUUGAGUGUCUGAUCAUACAAUUCCGAAUAUGACGUCAGACCAUAGUAUUGAAGUCAAGUGCUACCACUGUGACUUUAAUGAUGUUCCAAUCAAUUUACACAGCUCAGUGUAAUAUAUAUUGGAUAUGAAUAAUUAAUUUCCCAUUAAUCUAACCUUAUUACAAAUAAUAUAGCAUGCUUUGAAACAAAUUAUUUUACUGUUUGUGGAUAUAUUUUUUAUAAACUACAUGUUGGCUUGUUAACACUUGGACAAUUUGAACUUUUCUGCUCCAUUCUCUCUUGAUUUGAUUCGAGUUCAUAAUUACGGUUAAUAUAUCCAAAUUUGUUUGCAGCACUAGGUGCUUUUUAAUUCUAUUUGUUUGAACUGCAAAACAUCUUUCAACGUAUCGGUAAAGAUUUUGUUACUUUUAGUUAGAAUAGUUGAAGCAUGCGCGUUUGCACAAAAAAGGGAAAAUUAACAUUUUGUUGUGAAUUUUGAUAAAUUAAUAAUUUUUUUUGAUCAUUUGACAAAAAAAACAUAGUAAAUUUAGUGAAAUUUGGUAUCUAUUAAGGUUAAAUUAAUUUGAAAUUUUAAAUUGAAUAGGGUGAUAAGUUAAAAAAUUAUUGGAGGCUAAAAUCAAAUAGAUAUUUACAAGGGCAUUUUAAGUACAGGUGCAAAUGAUAAUAUUGAAUGAAAAGCUAUGAGAAUAUUUUAAAUAUAGGUGUAUUUUCGGAAUAGAUGGGUAUUUGGGAAGAAAGCUUGAUAGACCCAAAACUUCUAUUCACUUUUCUAUACAUAGAAUAGAUAUUUCAAUAGGGCACCUUGAUAAUUACUUGCAAAAUAAUAUAUAACUUUUUCAGGUACUUUGCUGUACCUUACCCGCUUCCCAAACUGGACAUGGUUGCUAUUCCCGAUUUUGCUGCUGGAGCUAUGGAGAAUUAUGGUUUAGUCACUUACCGGGAAACAGCUUUGCUGUUUGAUGAUCGUCACUCAGCAGCCUCAAAUAAACAACGGGUGACUUCCUGUUUUGAGUUAUAGCAUUUUAAUUGUUAUUCUCAAAUCUCAAUCCAUUCAGUUCAAUAUUCUGUUGCUGUUCAGCUUUAUCACGUACAAUUUAACAAUUAAUUGCUUUGAAUUUUACUUCACUAUGAAACUGGAAGGAAUUUUUAAUAUUUUACCUUUAAAGAUGUUUGACCGCAUUCUUACGGACUUAUAUGAAUGCUGCAUUGUUCUGUAUCAGGUGGCAAUUGUUGUGGCACAUGAAUUGGCUCAUCAGUGGUUUGGAAAUCUUGUGACAAUGGAAUGGUGGACCCACUUAUGGCUUAAUGAAGGUUUUGCAACUUGGGUAAUUUGCUAGAGGAUAUCUUUUCCUGUCACUGUGAAUCCUUUUAUAGAAUGAUUAUUGAAUUUAAUAAGCUAUUUUAACUUACUUUUAUAGGUGAGUUAUUUAGCCGCAGAUUCCUUAUUUCCUGAAUGGAAUGUUUGGACACAAUUUCUAGAUGAGACUACCACGGGAUUAAGGUUGGAUGCACUUACAGAAUCACAUCCUAUUGAGGUAAAGAUCUUUACCAUAAUUACUGGCUAGAACAUCGAGGGCAGUAAGAUAGUUUUUCAUAUAAUCUUAGGGAAUCGAUAACUAUUACUUUGUUACUACUUGAAUCAGCUAUGUGUACAGAAUAUCUCACUGGAAUUAAUACAUAAUCAUGCUUGGACUUAAUACUAAAAUGGUUAUUUCAAUAAUCUAAUAGAUAAAACAAUCGUUGUCCUAAUAUCAAUGGUAAUGCUGUAUUAAUUUCCCAGACUUCGUAUUUAGCUUUUGCUCUUCUUUUCGUUUUUCAGGUUGAUAUAAAUCAUGCCAGCGAAAUUGAGGAAAUUUUUGAUGCAAUAAGCUAUAAGAAAGGAGCUUCUGUUAUUCGUAUGCUGCAAAGUUACCUUGGUGCUGAAUGCUUUCAGGUUUGGCAGUUUCAUUUCUACUUUGUCCUUCAGCUUGUUGUUUCUCAUUUAUCUAUUUUGCGUAUUCGCAUAAUCCAUUACUAGCAUUCCAACCUUAUUGUUCAAUACUAGCAUUCCAACCUUGUAGUUUUAGUGCAGAGCUUCAGUUGGUCAGAUUCGCAUUGUCCCAUGAACAAUACUUUCUGUUGUUACCACAGUUAUUAUUCUUUUUAAUUUGAUAGUACUGUCUCAUUAGUUUUGUUGAAUUUCAUUCAGAAGAAAGCUGCACACAUCAGUACAAUGUCAAAUGUUGGUUGUGAUUGUUACUUAUGGUACGUCCUAGUUGCUAUUCUGCAGUCAAUGAUGUAUCAUCAACAUUAAAGACAUUUAUUAUGAAUUUCCUUCUACUCUCUUUCACGCACUCUUUUUCUCCCUAAGCCUUCAUGGAGUAUUAGGUUGUUGCAUAUUUUAUACCUUUUCUUUUCCUAGCUGUUUAAACUUUCAGAUUGGAAGUCUUAUCAACGUGUUAUAAAUUUUUUCAGAAAGCGUUAGCUUCGUACAUCAAAAAAUUCGCCUAUUCGAAUGCGAAAACUGAAGAUUUGUGGGCUGUUCUUGAAAAGGAAUCUGGUGAACCAGUGAAAAAGUUAAUGCACUCAUGGACAAAGCAGAAAGGUUAUCCUGUUCUUUCUGUAAAAGUGAGAGAUGGAAAUUUGGAAUUUGAACAGGUACAUAUUUAUACUGUUCUUUUCUAAGCUAUCAAUGUCUUUUUAAAUCUCAAUGGAUAAACUGUGAAUAAAUUGAAAAAUUUAAGAUGAUCUUAAACUCUGUAUAUGAUGCCGAUAUUAGAGCUCUUAUUUCCAUGUUGCGAUUGUACUAUUUAUCUCUGUUGGUUAGAUUGCGAAAAGUUAAUUGUUCUAGACUUUCCACUGGUAUAAUUUUCACUUCACAGAUUGACUUGGAAAUAUAUACUAUGUUGCUGCAUGUAUGAAGUGUUAGUCAUUCACCUUUCUUGAUUCACAAUGAGAAUCACUGUUAGAGUUUGACUUAUGUCAUGCUUUCUCAUGCCAUAACCUAUCAUAACAAAUUUUACUGCUCUCUCUCUCUCUCCCCCUUUUGUAUCACAGUAUAGCCUGCAUUGGAGACGGUCGUUAAUGCAAGACACUCUUAAGAUGUUUAUUCAUAAAAUUUAUGUUACAAUAUUAACUGUUUUUUUAAUCUAUUUAAUAAUCUAGAUUGUUAAACAGCACUAUAAUAACUGUCCUUUCUUUUCUACCUUCCCUUUUUCCUUUUCUACCUUCCCUUGCAGACUCAGUUCUUAUCAAGCGGAUCCUCAGGAGUUGGACAAUGGAUUGUCCCUAUAACAUUAUGUUGCUGUUCAUAUAAAUCUCAGGAAAAGUUCCUGCUGGAAACAAAAUCUGACAAGAUGAAUUUAACUAAGCUUUGUGAUUCUUUUGAUAGCGGUAAAGGCGGAAAAUUCUGGAUAAAAGUUAAUGUCAAUCAAACUGGGUUUUAUCGGGUGAACUAUGAUGAUGAACUUGCUUCUAAACUUCGAUAUGCUAUAGAGUCCCACCAGCUUACUGCAACAGAUAGAUUUGGUAAAUUAAAUAAAAAAUACCAGCUAUCUUUUUUUCUUUUCCUUUUUACUCGCUAUAACUUAUUAUUUUCAUCUAUUCUUGUUGUAGGUGUUCUUGAUGACUCCUUUGCCUUAAGUAUGGCUUGCAAGCAGACACUGUCGUCUUUAUUAUCUUUAAUGGCUGCUUACAAGGAGGAGUCUGAAUACACUGUGCUGUCACACAUAAUCACUGUAAGUGUCGAUCAUCUUGUUUUAGUUUGAUUGGUCUCAAACUAAUUGCACCGUUGUUUUGUUUAUUUAAUUACAUUUUUCUCUGCCUUGACAGACAAGUUACAAGGUUGUUGACGUGGUUGCUGAUGCUGCCCCAGAAUUGGUAGAUGACAUCAAAACAUUCUUUAUAAGCCUUCUCCAAUACCCUGCAGAGUAAGAUUGUUGCAAGCCAUGGAUUGCAUAACUUCUUUUUUUCCUAUGAACUCAAAAAAUGAACCGAUAAUUAAAGAAGUAAUAUGCAAAAGGAUUUCGUUUUCUCAAGUCAUUGUUUCUAUAGGGCUGUUAUUGUGCAUGUAUUUUGAUGUCUUGAGCUACUAUGGAAAUAGUUUUAUUAUUUCUUAAUAUCAAACUGAAACCCCAAUAUCUUAACUUUGUUGAUAGCAAAAUGAUGCUAUUUUUGGCCUGACCAACAUCUUUAUUUUUCUAAAAUACAAGAUUUAUGGAUUUUAGGGCGUUUUCUGUGCUACAUCUUUUUAUACUUUACUGUAUGAGAUAUUCCUUCUGGGCAUCUUUGACGAAAUUACUUUAUGGACUUUGACAGGAAGUUAGGAUGGGACCCAAAAGAUGGUGAAAGCCACUUGGAUGCGAUGCUAAGAGGGGAGAUUUUGACCGCUCUUGCUGAAUUUGGGCAUGAUAUUACAAUUAAUGAAGCAGUCAAGCGUUUUCAUGCCUUUAUGGAAGAUAGAGAUACAUCUCUUCUCCCUCCAGAUACACGAAAGGUUCAUAUUUGGCUUGAUUCCUAAUUCCGACAUUGCCCCCAUAAUGUCCAAUUGAAUUUUUCACCGCCAAGUUGUUUUUCAUAGGCUGCAUAUGUUGCUCUGAUGAAGACGGUGAACAACUCGAAUAAAGUAGGAUAUGAAUCUCUUCUGAGGAUUUACAGGGAAACUGAUCUGAGCCAGGAGAAAGUCCGUAUCUUAAGUAUGUUCAAGUUACUCAUACUCUCUUUUUUAAGGACAUGGCUACAAAUAUAUCUUUGAUUUUCCUCUAUUUGGCUUUUACAUACAUAUAUCCACACAAAAUCACCUGGUUUCCUAUAUACAUAUAUCCCGUUGGUAUCUGAAUUUUUCAUGCAGUUCUCUCAAAUGUCUUCUUUCUUAAAAAUAACAGACUUUUCCUUAAGAGUGUAUUCAAUUAGUGGGAAAGAGUUGGGUUUUAUAAUAGAAGUCGUAUUUCUUCAUUCUUUCUUUUUUUAAAUCUUUUAGUCAGGACAGUGUAUAAGUGUAAGGGUAUUUACGGAAGAAAGUUUUUAAAAGAGAGAUGUACAGAAGCCAGGUUUUUACAGGGAUAUGUUCGCGCAAAGAAACUAUUCUUGUAUAAAUGUGAUAAAUCUACUUUCCUUUGUUCUGAAGGUGCUUUGGCUUCUAGCCCGGACCCCAGUGUUGUUCUGGAAGCCCUAAAUUUUCUGUUGUCUUCUGAGGUAACUAACACUAUGCUUACCUUCUUGGAAUGGGCUCUUUCUUUGUCUAGCGGAAAUUAUUUAAUACAUUGUAAUCAAUUCUAGGUUCGAAAUCAAGAUGCCGUGCAUGGUUUAGCAGGAAUUAGCCGUGAGGGACGUGAUGUUGCAUGGAUGUGGUUGAAGGUAAUUAUUUCUCCGAAAUCAAGUUUAUGAACUCGAUAACCUUCAACAACCUGGUUUAUUUGGCCUUUAAAACUGUUUCACGGAUGACAUUAAUAAUGCUUUUCUUUCCUCUUCUUUAAUCCAUUAAUGGUUGUUUAACGUUAUAUUUGGUUCUAAUAAGAUGUCAUUUUAUUACUUCCAUUUACUUUUGUUCUAUAUUUACCGUGCUUGUCGGUUGAGUGCAGGAAAACUGGGAACACAUCUCAAAGACGUGGGGCUCUGGAUUUUUGAUCACUCGCUUUAUCAGUUCUAUUGUGUCACCGGUUCGUAAAUCACCGUCUUUAUGUUUACAAUUAAUUAUUCACAGCCAAGCUUGCUUGAAUGACUCUCUUGUUGUUGUUGCAGUUCUCCUCGGAUGAGAAAGGCGAUGAAAUAGAAAAUUUCUUUGCUACCCGCUCGAAGCCUUCCAUUUCUAGGACACUGAAGCAGAGUAUCGAGCGAGUUAGGGUCAACGCGAAGUGGGUUAAAAGUAUUCAGAGCGAGACUUCCCUGGGAGAAGUUGUGGAGGAGUUAGCCUACAGAAUAUACUAAUUUACGGUACUGCUGUGCAUCGACCAAUAAAGAUUGCUGAUGUAGCUAUUGUUGAUAUAACUGCGAGAUGUCCCGACGAGAAACUCUUUUCCUCUCCACAAGAUAACUUAUAAAAUG
RNAcentral lists this long non-coding RNA (39286 nucleotides) under Ananas comosus (pineapple). Its description in RNAcentral is "long non-coding RNA (ACOM_LNC008054)". The record is from RNAcentral. Lineage: Eukaryota; Viridiplantae; Streptophyta; Magnoliopsida; Poales; Bromeliaceae.